GGCCAGCNGGGCUAUCUGCAGUCGAGCGCGGGAGCGAGUGGAUCCCUUCGGGGUGAAGCUCGUGGAACGAGCGGCGGACGGGUGAGUAACACGUGGGCAACCUGCCUGUAAGACCGGAAUAACCCCGGGAAACCGGGGCUAAUGCCGGGUAAUACUUUUCUUCGCAUGAAGGAAAGUUGAAAGAUGGCUUCUUGCUAUCACUUACAGAUGGGCCCGCGGCGCAUUAGCUAGUUGGUGAGGUAACGGCUCACCAAGGCGACGAUGCGUAGCCGACCUGAGAGGGUGAUCGGCCACACUGGGACUGAGACACGGCCCAGACUCCUACGGGAGGCAGCAGUAGGGAAUCUUCCGCAAUGGACGAAAGUCUGACGGAGCAACGCCGCGUGAACGAUGAAGGUCUUCGGAUCGUAAAGUUCUGUUGUUAGGGAAGAACAAGUACCGCGCGAAUAGAGCGGUACCUUGACGGUACCUAACGAGGAAGCCCCGGCUAACUACGUGCCAGCAGCCGCGGUAAUACGUAGGGGGCAAGCGUUGUCCGGAAUUAUUGGGCGUAAAGCGCGCGCAGGCGGUUCCUUAAGUCUGAUGUGAAAGCCCACGGCUCAACCGUGGAAGGUCAUUGGAAACUGGGGAACUUGAGGACAGAAGAGGAGAGUGGAAUUCCACGUGUAGCGGUGAAAUGCGUAGAUAUGUGGAGGAACACCAGUGGCGAAGGCGACUCUCUGGUCUGUUUCUGACGCUGAGGUGCGAAAGCGUGGGUAGCAAACAGGAUUAGAUACCCUGGUAGUCCACGCCGUNAACGAUGAGUGCUAGGUGUUAGGGGGCUUCACCCCUUAGUGCUGAAGUUACGCA
This 849-nucleotide ribosomal RNA is filed under the name Halobacillus sp. LD1. RNAcentral describes it as "bacterial SSU rRNA". It matches the Rfam family "Bacterial small subunit ribosomal RNA", at positions 41 to 859 of the family's 1533-position model. Lineage: Bacteria; Bacillati; Bacillota; Bacilli; Caryophanales; Bacillaceae. The record is from RNAcentral.